UACGUAGGGUGCGAGCGUUAAUCGGAAUUACUGGGCGUAAAGCGUGCGCAGGCGGUUUUGUAAGCCAGAUGUGAAAUCCCCGGGCUUAACCUGGGAAUGGCAUUUGGGACUGCAAGGCUGGAGUUUGGCAGAGGAGACUGGAAUUCCUGGUGUAGCAGUGAAAUGCGUAGAUAUCAGGAGGAACACCGGUGGCGAAGGCGGGACUCUGGGCCGAUACUGACGCUGAGGCGCGAAAGCCAGGGGAGCAAACGGG
This 253-nucleotide ribosomal RNA is filed under the name uncultured bacterium. RNAcentral describes it as "partial 16S ribosomal RNA". It matches the Rfam family "Bacterial small subunit ribosomal RNA", at positions 524 to 776 of the family's 1533-position model. The record is from RNAcentral.